This 518-nucleotide long non-coding RNA is filed under the name Nicotiana tabacum (common tobacco). RNAcentral describes it as "long non-coding RNA (NTAB_LNC018818)". The record is from RNAcentral. Lineage: Eukaryota; Viridiplantae; Streptophyta; Magnoliopsida; Solanales; Solanaceae.
GAGUUCUAAUCAUUCACUCAACUGCCAAGCCUACGGGCUACCUUUAUUUCGAGUUCGAGCAAUCACUCACUCGAUCAUUAAGCCUACGGGCUACUUUGAAUGUUACUCCUAUAUGCUACAUUUCAUCGAGUUCGAAUCAUUCGCUCAACUGCCAAGCCUACGGGCUACCUUUAUUUCGAGUUCGAGCAAUCACUCACUCGAUCAUUAAGCCUACGGGCUACUUUGACUGUUACUCUUAUGUGCUACAUUUCAUCGAGUUCGAAUCAUUCGCUCGACUGCCAAGCCUACGCGCUACCUUUAUUUCGGGUUCAAGCAAACACUCACUCGACCAUUAAGCCUACGGGCUACUUUGACUAUUACGCCUACGGGCUACAUUGCAUCUAGUUCGAAUCAUUCUCUCGACUGCCAAGCCUACGGGCUACCUUUAUUUUGAGUUCGAGCAAUCACUCACUCGAUCAUUAAGCCUACGAGCUACUUUGACUAUUACGCCUACGGGCUACAUUGCAUCGAGUUCAAAU